RNA transcript from Grammomys surdaster, 1408 nucleotides. It is a transcript of the gene named casein kinase II subunit alpha' pseudogene, with no coding region annotated. The record is from RefSeq and is a predicted model, not a curated record. NCBI's taxonomy places the organism in Eukaryota, Metazoa, Chordata, Mammalia, Rodentia, Muridae. The transcript has a single exon.
GCCGCAGCUGCCCUUCUCCUGGCAGCAGCCGCUGUUGCCACCACCGCUUCUGGAGGCAUGGAGCUGAGCAGAGGCAGCCGCGGAGCAGGAGCUCCACCAUUCCGCUGGCUGCUGAAGACUCCGGACCGGUUCGGCCGGCGCCUUCCGCGCCCCCGACCCCAGAGUCUGGCCGCCGCCGCCGCCGCGCUCCUCCUCCUGCUCGGGGCCGCCGCGCUCCUCCUCCUGCUCCGGCGGCCCACAGCCAGCUGCUUCCCGCGCCUGCCGCCUCGCGCCAGGCGCCGCGCCGCCACCACUGCCACCCUCAAAGCCCCGCGGCCCACCCUGGUCCCAUCCGCCAGGCCCGGCCAGGCCACCUGCAGUCGGACCCGGGUCUUCCCUGAGGUGAACAGCCUGAGGAGCCGCGAGUACUGGGACUACGAAGCCCACGUCCUGAGCUGGGGUAAUCAAGAUGAUUACCAACUGGUUCAAAAACUUGGUUGGGGCAAGUAUAGUGAAGUAUUUGAGGCCAUUAACAUCACCAACAAUGAGAGAGUGGUUAUAAAAAUUCUCAAGCCAGUGAAGGAAAAGAAGAUAAAACGAGAGGUUAAGAUUCUGGAGAACCUUCGUGGUGGAACAAAUAUCAUUAAGCUGAUUGACACUGUAAAGGACCCUGUAUCAAAGACACCAGCUUUGGUAUUUGAAUAUAUCAAUAAUACAGAUUUUAAGCAACUCUACCAGAUCCUGACUGACUUUGAUAUCCGGUUUUAUAUGUAUGAACUACUUAAAGCUCUGGAUUACUGCCACAGCAAGGGAAUCAUGCACAGGAAUGUGAAACCUCACAAUGUCAUGAUAGAUCACAAACAAAAAAAGCUCCGACUGAUUGAUUGGGGUCUGGCGGAGUUCUAUCAUCCUGCUCAGGAGUACAAUGUUCGAGUUGCCUCGAGGUACUUCAAGGGACCAGAGCUCCUGGUGGACUAUCAGAUGUAUGAUUACAGCUUGGAUAUGUGGAGUUUGGGCUGUAUGUUAGCGAGCAUGAUAUUCCGAAAGGAGCCAUUCUUCUAUGGGCAGGACAACUAUGAUCAGCUUGUUCGAAUUGCCAAGGUUCUGGGGACAGAUGAGCUAUAUGGGUAUCUGAAGAAGUACCACAUAGACCUAGAUCUACACUUCAAUGAUAUCCUGGGACAACAUUCACGGAAGCGCUGGGAAAACUUUAUCCAUAGUGAGAACAGACACCUUGUCAGCCCCGAGGCCCUAGAUCUUCUUGACAACCUCCUGCGGUACGACCAUCAACAGAGAUUGACCACCAAAGAGGCCAUGGAGCACCCAUACUUCUACCCGGUGGUGAAGGAGCAGUCCCAGCCUUGUGCUGAGAACACAGUGCAUUCCAGUGAUCUCACUGCAGCGCGAUGAAGCCUGGGGAAUCGGUGGU